Molecule: RNase P RNA, 378 nt
Filed under: Weissella confusa
Lineage: Bacteria; Bacillati; Bacillota; Bacilli; Lactobacillales; Lactobacillaceae
Description: partial RNase P RNA component class A
Rfam family: Bacterial RNase P class A
About the family: Ribonuclease P (RNase P) is a ubiquitous endoribonuclease, found in archaea, bacteria and eukarya as well as chloroplasts and mitochondria. Its best characterised activity is the generation of mature 5'-ends of tRNAs by cleaving the 5'-leader elements of precursor-tRNAs.
Source: RNAcentral
CGCUGGUUUUCCCUUCAUGAGAAGACGAGAGGAAAGUCCGGGCAACACAGGACAAUCCGCUACCUAACGGGUAGGAGCCAGUGAUGGUUGGUCAGUGCAGAAGAAAAUAACCGCCUGCGUAAUGCAGGUAAGGGUGAGAAGGUGGAGUAAGAGACUACCAGGCGUGUGGUGACAUGCGUGCUGUGCACUCCGGAUGUUGAAAGUUCGCGUAUACCGGCAAUGUUUUCGCUGCAGAAGCGGGAACGGGAGGGCUGUCCGUCCGAGCCGGAGGGUAGAACGAUAGAGGCCGGUGGUGACACCGGCAGUGGAUAAAUGACAGACGACGGAGAUGGAGGUAUUAUGGACUGAAACUGUCCGUGCACAGAACCCGGCUUAUAG